UCAGUAGCUCAGUGGUAGAGCGGUCGGCUGUUAACUGACUGGUCGUAGGAUUCGAACCCUUAACCUGUA
RNAcentral lists this transfer RNA (69 nucleotides) under Humulus lupulus (European hop). Its description in RNAcentral is "tRNA-Asn". It matches the Rfam family "tRNA", at positions 5 to 66 of the family's 71-position model. Rfam says of the family: Transfer RNA (tRNA) molecules are approximately 80 nucleotides in length. Their secondary structure includes four short double-helical elements and three loops (D, anti-codon, and T loops). The record is from RNAcentral. Lineage: Eukaryota; Viridiplantae; Streptophyta; Magnoliopsida; Rosales; Cannabaceae.